RNAcentral lists this ribosomal RNA (238 nucleotides) under uncultured bacterium. Its description in RNAcentral is "partial 16S ribosomal RNA". It matches the Rfam family "Bacterial small subunit ribosomal RNA", at positions 96 to 334 of the family's 1533-position model. The record is from RNAcentral.
CGGCGGACGGGUGAGUAACGCGUGGGUAACCUGCCUCAUACAGGGGGAUAACAGUUAGAAAUGGCUGCUAAUACCGCAUAAGACCACGGUACUGCAUGGUACAGUGGUAAAAACUCCGGUGGUAUGAGAUGGACCCGCGUCUGAUUAGGUAGUUGGUGAGGUAACGGCCCACCAGGCCGACGAUCAGUAGCCGACCUGAGAGGGUGACCGGCCACAUUGGGACUGGGACACGGUCCAG